UUAGGGAACAACAACAAGCACAAUAAUACUUGUUGAUACCUAGGAUGCUGGCAGCAACCCGUAUCAACCCUCAGACCCAGUCAAUGAUAGUUGUGAUACAUUUUUAAAUGUUCAGUUGACUGAGUUUCAUGUUUAAUGAAUAAAAGAUAGUAAUA
This is a non-coding RNA of Pseudonaja textilis, 155 nucleotides long. The record is from RefSeq and is a predicted model, not a curated record. Lineage: Eukaryota; Metazoa; Chordata; Lepidosauria; Squamata; Elapidae.